Molecule: ribosomal RNA, 431 nt
Filed under: uncultured bacterium
Lineage: Bacteria
Description: partial 16S ribosomal RNA
Rfam family: Bacterial small subunit ribosomal RNA
Source: RNAcentral
AACGAACGCUGGCGGCAGGCUUAACACAUGCAAGUCGAGCGCCCCGCAAGGGGAGCGGCCUGCUGGUGAGUAACGCGUGGGAACGUACCUUUUGGUUCGGAACAACUCCGGGAGACUGGAGCUAAUACCGGAUAAGCCCUAACGGGGAAAGAUUUAUCGCCGAAAGAUCGGCCGGCGUCUGAUUAGCUGGUUGGUGAGGUAACGGCUCACCAAGGCGACGAUCGGUAGCUGGUCUGAGAGGAUGAUCCGCCACACUGGGACUGAGACACGGCCCGGACUCCUACGGGAGGCAGCAGUGGGGAAUAUUGGACAAUGGGGGCAAGCAUGAUCCAUCCAUGCCGCGUGAGUGAUGAAGGCCUUAGGGUUGUAAAGCUCUUUUGUCCGGGAAGAUAAUGACUGUACCGGAAGAAUAAGCCCCGGCUAACUUCGUG